ACCAUCUUUGUGUGAGGUUGUUAAGCUUUUAGGUAUAAAAGCUCUUCUGUUGGCCAUACGAGUUCUGAAAGAUACUGAUACGGGAUACGUUCAGCAGGAUUUGUGAAAAGACUUGGUUCUCUGGCUUUGAGGUAUUCUGAGGUAUAUCCUAGGACAUCUUUUCGGCUGUCACGAACUCCGUGAACGAAAAUACCUCCAGGUUCCAGGCAGGUUGUGGUUUUGAUGUGAUAAUUUAAAGG
RNAcentral lists this long non-coding RNA (239 nucleotides) under Elaeis guineensis (African oil palm). Its description in RNAcentral is "long non-coding RNA (EGUI_LNC011188)". The record is from RNAcentral. Lineage: Eukaryota; Viridiplantae; Streptophyta; Magnoliopsida; Arecales; Arecaceae.